Neofelis nebulosa (Clouded leopard) is the source of this 895-nucleotide long non-coding RNA. RefSeq lists it as uncharacterized. NCBI's taxonomy places the organism in Eukaryota, Metazoa, Chordata, Mammalia, Carnivora, Felidae. The transcript is spliced from 2 exons. The record is from RefSeq and is a predicted model, not a curated record.
UUAUCUAUAACCAAUUUUACUGUGUAUCAUUUUGGCCCUUGUCAGUUUCAUUUUGGUGCUUAAGAUCAAAUUGACUCAAAAUGACAGAAUAGAAAUGGCACGCUUCAGCCCAUGGAUAGCCAAGGGGAGGUGUCCAAGGCACAGGAUAUUUCUGGACAGCUAGGGGGAGUGUGGAGAGAAACCUGGGAUCAAAAAUAAAUUUGAGAGUCAUUUUCAUCUGGGUGUUGAGGCCAAGGGAAGAGGUGAUACCUCACAAGAGUGUGUGUAGACCAUGAGAGAAGAGCACCCAGGAACAUUAAGAGGAGCACCAACAUUUGGGAAAGAAAUGGCUAGAAGAGGAGAAAAUGAGGGAGAGGCAGGAGGUAGGAAGAAGCCCGCAGGAGGCAUUAUCAUGGAAGCCAGGUCAAGGAACGGAAUGGUGGGUGACGAUGGAUGCUGCAGAGGUCAUGUAGGACCCAUACUGAAACGCGUCCUUUGGAUUUAGCAACAACAUCAUCACUGUGCUCAGUGAGAGACAUCUCAGGAGUGGAGAAAGAAAUACCCAGCUGGAUAUAUUCGUCAGAGGAGUGAAAAGGAACUGAAGGACGGAGACCAUCGUACAGCCAUUGUUGGCUGUAAGAAGUUUCAGCUUCUCCCGGGAAUGUGAUGUUUACCCAGUCAACCUGGAAUUACCGGAUCAGCCCUAGUGAGGUGAUCUGCAUGAUAGACCCCCGCCCUUCCCCCAAAAGAAGCCUGGCCGAAAUAGUCCACUCUACUAAAACUUCCAUUUCUACCCCCAUCUACCUAUAAAAGCUUUCCAUUUUGUACACUUCCUCAGAGUUCCUUUUUACUUGCUAGAGGGGAUGCUGCGUGAUUUGUGAAUUGUUGAAUAAAGCCAAUUUGAUCUUCAAAUUCA